UACGGGUGGCAGCAGCGGGGAAUUGUUCGCAAUGGGCGCAAGCCUGACGACGCAACGCCGCGUGGAGGAUGAAGACCUUCGGGUCGUAAACUCCUUUCGACCGAGAUGAAUUCUCGCCGACCUAACACGUCGGCGGGGUGACAGUAUCGAGGGAAGCAACCCCGGCUAACUCCGUGCCAGCAGCCGCGGUAAUACGGGGGGGGCAAGCGUUGUUCGGAAUUACUGGGCGUAAAGGGUUCGUAGGUGGCCCGCUAAGUCACACGUGAAAUCCCUCAGCUCAACUGGGGAACUGCGUGUGAGACUGGCAGGCUCGAGUGCAGGAGAGGAACGCGGAAUUCCAGGUGUAGCGGUGAAAUGCGUAGAUAUCUGGAGGAACACCGGUGGCGAAGGCGGCGUUCUGGACUGUAUCUGACACUGAGGAACGAAAGCCAGGGGAGCAAACGGGGAUUAGAGAACCCCAGGAAGUCAUCUUUCUAGA
This 478-nucleotide ribosomal RNA is filed under the name uncultured Acidobacteriota bacterium. Its description in RNAcentral is "bacterial SSU rRNA". It matches the Rfam family "Bacterial small subunit ribosomal RNA", at positions 340 to 806 of the family's 1533-position model. Lineage: Bacteria; Pseudomonadati; Acidobacteriota. The record is from RNAcentral.